Long non-coding RNA from Macaca mulatta (Rhesus monkey), 1843 nucleotides. NCBI's taxonomy places the organism in Eukaryota, Metazoa, Chordata, Mammalia, Primates, Cercopithecidae. The record is from Ensembl.
AGUAUAACCUGUUAUACUCUUUUUAUCCCAGGCUCAUUGAGAUCUAGGCAAGGGAAGUGAGCCUGACCUCUUCAACUAGGUUCUGCUGCCAAAAACUUCAUGGUCACCGCAGUUCAAACAGAAGUUUCUCAGUCAGUGACAAGACAGGGAAGUAGAACGUGUUGGUGAAAAUGAGACUAGAGAAAAAUGAAAGCAGAUUUAUAACACUCUACAUUCAGGAAAACACAUGACUGAGUCUGUUGUAUGCAACAUGGCUUGCUGAAAGUGCUCUAAAGUAGGAGACAGGAGAGAAAGAGAAAAAGUCUACUCUGAGCUCAGGCAGUAACUGACUGGUGUAAACUCCCUGGCCUUUAUGUGGAGGGACCGUAAAACAAAAAGCAGUAGAAGGACAAACGAGGAAAGUCAGUGUAACGACAAUGAAGAAACUGCAUGUGUACAGGAAGUGUAGAGAAAGACUUCAAAUUCCAGCGGGCAAUGGAAUUGCAAACCUCUGCCACAGUACCCACUACUUUCUACUUGACUCUGUUAUUUCUGGAUCUGCCUACCAGAGUCCAUAUUCCUCACUGAAGAUGGAGUUUAGGUGUGGAAAAAGUCUACAUGCAAAGUAACUACUAAUGAAAGUUUGUGAAGAUGUUAAAAUCAACAAAUUAAUCACCCUUAUCUUGAGAAUAUUUUUCCCUUUGCUAAUGUUGACAUCUUUACUUAAUUCUUGUAUUUCUCUUUCCUUUUAUUGCCAAAAAUUUUAAAUAAAUGAGCUAUAUUCAGUUCCUCAGUAGCAAUACUUUAUUAUUGCACAUGUAUUUUAAUGGCAUCUUAUGUGUCAGAUUCAAAGGUCUUCAUCCAUUCUCAUUUUUCUUCACACUUUUUGAGUUCUCACUCCUAUUCACCAUAAAUUUUUCUUGAAAGCUUCUUUAUCCCCAAAUUUCAAAAUACUGGAGGAUUCUUCUCCUCAAUUCUGCCUCUCUCUUUUGGUAAUAACUCCUAAAUUGAUACAACACCCACGUUGCACUCUCUGAUUGCUGUGCUGUGAGUAUGCAAGUAUGAAUAAGACAGGUUUCUGGGACCUCCCAAUCUAGCGAAAUGCAAGAGCAUGGGGCCUAUCUGCUGUGAGAGGCAUAACCAAAGCACUAAGGUGGAACUGAUGCUGGCCUAAUAAAUAUGUGGGGGGAGGCAGCAUGGGAACAGGGAACAGCAAAUGGAAAAUUGUGGUAAUAACAACCUGUGAUAUGUCAGAAACUGGGUGAGAAAUUUAUCAAGGCUAGAGCUUAAAGGUAGAUAAAAAGUUGAAGAUCAGGAGAGCUGAAAAGAAGACUGAGGACUGAGUUGUAAAGGAUUUUACUCUUUAUGCAAAUAUAUUUGCUCUUUAAUGAACACAGUCAGUGCUCAAUAAGUGCUGGGUAAAAGUAUCAAUAAAUCAUUUGACUAACUAGCAUGUGUUGAAUAGGAAGUGAAAAAUAAAUGAUCUCUGAUUAUGAGAAACAUAAUAUGUAGUUGGAGGGAAAACAGUUUAUAGGAUGAGAAAACAUAGAAUACUACAAAAUUAUACAAGGCACAUAAGUAUGGGAGAAAAGAGUAUUAAUCAAUGUGUAUAUACUGACUAUUAGUCCUUGAAUGCCAAGUAGGCUUUGGGUAGAGUCAGAAGAGAAAGGAUGACAUUUAGGUAAAUGGAAAAGCUCAAACAAAGACAUAGCUGAAAAUUGGCCAAGAAUGGAAUAAGAAUAAUACUGGCAUUGGGCUACAUGAAUAACUACUGUGUGUUGGGAAAUGUAAUAGUCAUUGAUGUUUGCAAUAGCCAGCAACCAAGCUGGCCACAAAGAGUCCCAUUCUCAUAUUUAUUAGCAAG